Molecule: transfer RNA, 96 nt
Filed under: Saccharomyces cerevisiae (brewer's yeast)
Lineage: Eukaryota; Fungi; Ascomycota; Saccharomycetes; Saccharomycetales; Saccharomycetaceae
Description: tRNA-Phe
Rfam family: tRNA
About the family: Transfer RNA (tRNA) molecules are approximately 80 nucleotides in length. Their secondary structure includes four short double-helical elements and three loops (D, anti-codon, and T loops).
Source: RNAcentral
GCGGAUUUAGCUCAGUUGGGAGCGCGCCAGACUGAAGAAAAAACUUCGGUCAAGUUAUCUGGAGGUCCUGUGUUCGAUCCCACAGAAUUCGCACCA